UACGUAGGGGGCAAGCGUUGUCCGGAAUUACUGGGCGUAAAGCGCGUGUAGGCGGGACGACAAGUCCGGCGUGAAAGGCUCGGGCUCAACCCGAGACGGCCGUUGGAAACUGUCGUUCUUGAGGGUCGAAGAGGAGAGUGGAAUUCCUGGUGUAGCGGUGAAAUGCGUAGAGAUCAGGAGGAACACCCAUGGCGAAGGCAGCUCUCUGGUCGACCUCUGACGCUGAGACGCGAAAGCGUGGGGAGCGAACGGGAUUAGAUACCCCGGUAGUCCACGCCGUAAACGAUGGUCACUAGGUGUAUGCGGUAUCGACCCCGCAUGUGCCGCAGCUAACGCAAUAAGUGACCCGCCUGGGGAGUACGGCCGCAAGGUUGAA
This 376-nucleotide ribosomal RNA is filed under the name uncultured bacterium. RNAcentral's name for it is "bacterial SSU rRNA". It matches the Rfam family "Bacterial small subunit ribosomal RNA", at positions 524 to 898 of the family's 1533-position model. The record is from RNAcentral.